AUACUUACUUGGCGUAGAGGAGACUGCGAUCAAGAAGGCAGUUCCUCCGGGGCGAAGUUCUUCCAUUGCACUACGGUUGAAUUGACCCCCGCGAGUAUCCCUAAUGUGGAUACAUCGUGCGCGUAAUUUUUGAUAGUCGGGACUGCGUUCGCGCGGCCCCGUG
Molecule: small nuclear RNA, 163 nt
Organism: Microplitis demolitor
Lineage: Eukaryota; Metazoa; Arthropoda; Insecta; Hymenoptera; Braconidae
Product: U1 spliceosomal RNA
Exons: 1
Source: RefSeq, a predicted model, not a curated record